GACGAACGCUGGCGGCGUGCUUAACACAUGCAAGUCGAACGGAAAGGCCCUGCUUUUGUGGGGUGCUCGAGUGGCGAACGGGUGAGUAACACGUGAGUAACCUGCCCUUGACUUUGGGAUAACUUCAGGAAACUGGGGCCAAUACCGGAUAGGAGCUCCUGCUGCAUGGUGGGGGUUGGAAAGUUUCGGCGGUUGGGGAUGGACUCGCGGCUUAUCAGCUUGUUGGUGGGGUAGUGGCUUACCAAGGCUUUGACGGGUAGCCGGCCUGAGAGGGUGACCGGCCACAUUGGGACUGAGAUACGGCCCAGACUCCUACGGGAGGCAGCAGUGGGGAAUAUUGCACAAUGGGCGGAAGCCUGAUGCAGCAACGCCGCGUGCGGGAUGACGGCCUUCGGGUUGUAAACCGCUUUCGCCUGGGACGAAGCGUGAGUGACGGUAAUGGGUAAAGAAGCACCGGCUAACUACGUG
RNAcentral lists this ribosomal RNA (468 nucleotides) under uncultured bacterium. Its description in RNAcentral is "partial 16S ribosomal RNA". It matches the Rfam family "Bacterial small subunit ribosomal RNA", at positions 28 to 507 of the family's 1533-position model. The record is from RNAcentral.